GAUAAAAGGAGGAAGGACAACAGAACUGACAGGAGAGGAGAGCAGAGCUUGGAACAGCACAGGAGCUGGAGCUUUUCAAAGAGGAAGCACAGAGCAGGUAGCAGGAGGCAGUUGUCAUGAUGAACUCUCUUGCACUUCCCUGUAAAGAUUGUACCUCCUGGCAGAGUCUUCUGCUCACAGCCUACCUUUUAACCUGCUGGCUGCUUCCCACUACUACCCAGGUCACCAUCGAAUCAGUGCCAUCCAUUGCUGUUGAAGGGGAAACAGUUCUUCUAUUUGUGCAUAGCCUGCCACCUAAUAUUCUUGCCUUUUACUGGUACAGAGGGGUCAGAGCUCUCAGGAGUUUUCAAAUUGCAGAAUAUGUGAUAGCUACCAAGUCUUGUGUGGAGGGACCUUCACACCGUGGUAGAGAGACAGUACUCAGCAAUGGAUCUCUGCUGAUCAAGAGUGUCACCAGACAAGACUCCGGACACUAUACUCUACAAAUAAUCACUACAAAUGCAAGACCUGAAAUAAUACGUGCAGAAUUCUUUGUACACAGUAAGUCAUUCAGAACGUGGAAGUAAGGCUUCAGACAAUCGAAGACCAGAAAGUGAACUACAGGCCAGGACCUUGAAGAAUCUAAGACAAAAGUUGGACAUGUGCUUUUCUUCUACUGAUACUAUCUAUUACAAAUAAAUGGCUUUCUGCUUACCAGUAU
This 700-nucleotide long non-coding RNA is filed under the name Rattus norvegicus (Norway rat). Its description in RNAcentral is "long non-coding RNA NONRATT000409". Lineage: Eukaryota; Metazoa; Chordata; Mammalia; Rodentia; Muridae. The record is from RNAcentral.